CCUACGGGGGGCUGCAGUGGGGAAUUUUGCGCAAUGGGGGAAACCCUGACGCAGCAACGCCGCGUGCGGGAUGACGGCCUUCGGGUUGUAAACCGCUUUCAGCAGGGACGAUAAUGACGGUACCUGCAGAAGAAGCUCCGGCUAACUACGUGCCAGCAGCCGCGGUAAUACGUAGGGAGCAAGCGUUAUCCGGAUUUAUUGGGCGUAAAGCGCGCGUAGGCGGCUUAUCAAGCAAGAUCUUUAAUCUGAGGGCUCAACCCCCAGCUGGAUCCUGAACUGGUAGGCUCGAGUUUGGUAGAGGAAGAUGGAAUUCCCAGUGUAGCGGUGAAAUGCGCAGAUAUUGGGAAGAACACCAAUGGCGAAGGCAGUCUUCUGGGCCAUAACUGACGCUGAGGUGCGAAAGCUAGGGGAGCGAACAGGAUUAGAUACCCCGGUAGUC
RNAcentral lists this ribosomal RNA (439 nucleotides) under uncultured Coriobacteriaceae bacterium. Its description in RNAcentral is "bacterial SSU rRNA". It matches the Rfam family "Bacterial small subunit ribosomal RNA", at positions 338 to 795 of the family's 1533-position model. The record is from RNAcentral. Lineage: Bacteria; Bacillati; Actinomycetota; Coriobacteriia; Coriobacteriales; Coriobacteriaceae.